RNAcentral lists this long non-coding RNA (537 nucleotides) under Homo sapiens (human). RNAcentral describes it as "non-protein coding lnc-IDI1-5:3". The record is from RNAcentral. Lineage: Eukaryota; Metazoa; Chordata; Mammalia; Primates; Hominidae.
GGCAAACCCACGCAACGCUGGGUACAGGUGCAAACCUACACAACGCCAGAAGGUCCAGGCACAGGGGCAAACCCACGCAACGCUGGCAGGUCCAGGCACAGGUGCAAACCCAUGCGACGCCGGCAGGUCCAGGCACAGGUGCAAACCCAUGCAACGCCAGCAGGUCCGGGCACAGGUGCAAACCUACACUACGCUGGACACAGGUGCAAACCUACAUGACGCUGGACACAGGUGCAAACCUACACGAUGCUGGACACAGGUGCAAACCUAUGUGUCACCGGCAGGUCCGGGUACAGGUGCAAAGCUACACAACGCUGGACACAGGUGCGAACCCACGCAAUGCCAGGUCUGGGCACAGGUACAAACCUACAUGAUGCUGGACACGUGCAAACCCACGCGAUGCCAGCAGGUCUGGGCACAGGUGCAAACCCACGCAACACUGGCAGGUCCGGGCACAGGUGCAAACCCACGAGAUGCUGGACACAGAUGCAAACCCACACAACGCUGGCAGGUCCAAGCACUCAGUGGCCACUCAAG